AGAGUUUGAUCAUGGCUCAGGAUGAACGCUAGCUACAGGCUUAACACAUGCAAGUCGAGGGGCAGCAUGGUCUUAGCUUGCUAAGGCCGAUGGCGACCGGCGCACGGGUGAGUAACACGUAUCCAACCUGCCGUCUACUCUUGGACAGCCUUCUGAAAGGAAGAUUAAUACAAGAUGGCAUCAUGAGUCCACAUGUUCACAUGAUUAAAGGUAUUCCGGUAGACGAUGGGGAUGCGUUCCAUUAGAUAGUAGGCGGGGUAACGGCCCACCUAGUCUUCGAUGGAUAGGGGUUCUGGAGAGGAAGGUCCCCCANAUUGGAACUGAGACACGGUCCAAACUCCGUACGGGAGGCA
Molecule: ribosomal RNA, 353 nt
Filed under: uncultured bacterium
Lineage: Bacteria
Description: bacterial SSU rRNA
Rfam family: Bacterial small subunit ribosomal RNA
Source: RNAcentral